RNAcentral lists this ribosomal RNA (468 nucleotides) under uncultured bacterium. RNAcentral's name for it is "partial 16S ribosomal RNA". It matches the Rfam family "Bacterial small subunit ribosomal RNA", at positions 28 to 507 of the family's 1533-position model. The record is from RNAcentral.
GACGAACGCUGGCGGCGUGCUUAACACAUGCAAGUCGAACGGAAAGGCCCUGCUUUUGUGGGGUGCUCGAGUGGCGAACGGGUGAGUAACACGUGAGUAACCUGCCCUUGACUUUGGGAUAACUUCAGGAAACUGGGGCUAAUACCGGAUAGGAGCUCCUGCUGCAUGGUGGGGGUUGGAAAGUUUCGGCGGUUGGGGAUGGACUCGCGGCUUAUCCGCUUGUUGGUGGGGUAGUGGCUUACCAAGGCUUUGACGGGUAGCCGGCCUGAGAGGGUGACCGGCCACAUUGGGACUGAGAGACGGCCCAGACUCCUACGGGAGGCAGCAGUGGGGAAUAUUGCACAAUGGGCGGAAGCCUGAGGCAGCAACGCCGCGUGCGGGAUGACGGCCUUCGGGUUGUAAACCGCUUUCGCCUGUGACGAAGCGUGAGUGACGGUAAUGGGUAAAGAAGCACCGGCUAACUACGUG